GCACAUGCAUAAGUGCUCGCUAAAGUUGGAACGAUACAGAGAAGAUUAGCAUGGCCCCUGCGCAAGGAUGACAGGCAAAUUUGUGAAGCACAUGCAUAAUUG
Molecule: small nuclear RNA, 102 nt
Organism: Mus pahari (shrew mouse)
Lineage: Eukaryota; Metazoa; Chordata; Mammalia; Rodentia; Muridae
Source: RefSeq, a predicted model, not a curated record